GGGCGGGUGGCGGAAUUGGUAGACGCACCGCACUCAAAAUGCGGCGACCGUGAGGUCAUAGGAGUUCGAUUCUCCUCCUGCCCA
This is a non-coding RNA of Anabaena sp. CRKS33, 84 nucleotides long. Lineage: Bacteria; Bacillati; Cyanobacteriota; Cyanophyceae; Nostocales; Nostocaceae. The record is from Rfam.